This 250-nucleotide ribosomal RNA is filed under the name uncultured bacterium. RNAcentral describes it as "partial 16S ribosomal RNA". It matches the Rfam family "Bacterial small subunit ribosomal RNA", at positions 524 to 776 of the family's 1533-position model. The record is from RNAcentral.
GACGUAGGGCGCGAGCGUUGUCCGGAUUUAUUGGGCGUAAAGAGCUCGUAGGCGGCUUGUCGCGUCGACUGUGAAAACUCGGGGCUCAACUCCGAGCUUGCAGUCGAUACGGGCAGGCUAGAGUUCGGUAGGGAGACUGGAAUUCCUGGUGUAGCGGUGAAAUGCGCAGAUAUCAGGAGGAACACCGGUGGCGAAGGCGGUCUCUGGGCCGAUACUGACGCUGAGGAGCGAAAGCGUGGGAGCGAACAGG